Small nuclear RNA from Carlito syrichta (Philippine tarsier), 164 nucleotides. Its record names the gene U1. It matches the Rfam family "U1 spliceosomal RNA". Rfam says of the family: U1 is a small nuclear RNA (snRNA) component of the spliceosome (involved in pre-mRNA splicing). Its 5' end forms complementary base pairs with the 5' splice junction, thus defining the 5' donor site of an intron. There are significant differences in sequence and secondary structure between metazoan and yeast U1 snRNAs, the latter being much longer (568 nucleotides as compared to 164 nucleotides in human). The record is from Ensembl. Lineage: Eukaryota; Metazoa; Chordata; Mammalia; Primates; Tarsiidae.
AUGCUUACCUGGCAGGGGAGAUACCAUGAUCAUGAAGGUGGUUUUCCUAGAGUGAGGCUUAUCCAUUGCACUCUGGGUGUGCUGACCCUUGGGAUUUCCCCAAAUGUGGGAAAAUUGACCGCAUAAUUUGUGGUAGUGGGGGACUGCAUUUAUGCUCUCCCCCC